Molecule: ribosomal RNA, 669 nt
Filed under: uncultured beta proteobacterium
Lineage: Bacteria; Pseudomonadati; Pseudomonadota; Betaproteobacteria
Description: bacterial SSU rRNA
Rfam family: Bacterial small subunit ribosomal RNA
Source: RNAcentral
CAAGUCGAACGGCAGCACGGGUGCUUGCACCUGGUGGCGAGUGGCGAACGGGUGAGUAAUACAUCGGAACAUGUCAUGUAGUGGGGGAUAGCCCGGCGAAAGCCGGAUUAAUACCGCAUACGAUCUACGGAUGAAAGCGGGGGACCUUCGGGCCUCGCGCUAUAGGGUUGGCCGAUGGCUGAUUAGCUAGUUGGUGGGGUAAAGGCCUACCAAGGCGACGAUCAGUAGCUGGUCUGAGAGGACGACCAGCCACACUGGGACUGAGACACGGCCCAGACUCCUACGGGAGGCAGCAGUGGGGAAUUUUGGACAAUGGGCGAAAGCCUGAUCCAGCAAUGCCGCGUGUGUGAAGAAGGCCUUCGGGUUGUAAAGCACUUUUGUCCGGAAAGAAAUCCUUGGUUCUAAUAUAGCCGGGGGAUGACGGUACCGGAAGAAUAAGCACCGGCUAACUACGUGCCAGCAGCCGCGGUAAUACGUAGGGUGCGAGCGUUAAUCGGAAUUACUGGGCGUAAAGCGUGCGCAGGCGGUUUGCUAAGACCGAUGUGAAAUCCCCGGGCUCAACCUGGGAACUGCAUUGGUGACUGGCAGGCUAGAGUAUGGCAGAGGGGGGUAGAAUUCCACGUGUAGCAGUGAAAUGCGUAGAGAUGUGGAGGAAUACCGAUGGCGAAG